GGGCGCUUAGCUCAGUUGGUAGAGCAUCUGACUCUUAAUCAGAUUGUCGUAGGUUCGAUCCCUACAGCGCCUG
RNAcentral lists this transfer RNA (73 nucleotides) under Candidatus Cytomitobacter indipagum. RNAcentral describes it as "tRNA-Lys". It matches the Rfam family "tRNA". Rfam says of the family: Transfer RNA (tRNA) molecules are approximately 80 nucleotides in length. Their secondary structure includes four short double-helical elements and three loops (D, anti-codon, and T loops). The record is from RNAcentral. Lineage: Bacteria; Pseudomonadati; Pseudomonadota; Alphaproteobacteria; Holosporales; Holosporaceae.